RNAcentral lists this ribosomal RNA (558 nucleotides) under uncultured bacterium. RNAcentral's name for it is "partial 16S ribosomal RNA". It matches the Rfam family "Bacterial small subunit ribosomal RNA", at positions 355 to 928 of the family's 1533-position model. The record is from RNAcentral.
UGGGGAAUAUUGCACAAUGGGCGAAAGCCUGAUGCAGCAACGCCGCGUGAGUGAUGAAGGCCUUCGGGUUGUAAAGCUCUGUCUUUUGGGACGAUAAUGACGGUACCAAAGGAGGAAGCCACGGCUAACUACGUGCCAGCAGCCGCGGUAAUACGUAGGUGGCAAGCGUUGUCCGGAUUUACUGGGCGUAAAGGAUGCGUAGGCGGAUUUUUAAGUGAGAUGUGAAAUACCCGGGCUUAACUUGGGUGCUGCAUUUCAAACUGGGAAUCUAGAGUGCGGGAGAGGAGAAUGGAAUUCCUAGUGUAGCGGUGAAAUGCAUAGAGAUUAGGAAGAACACCAGUGGCGAAGGCGAUUCUCUGGACCGUAACUGACGCUGAGGCAUGAAAGCGUGGGUAGCAAACAGGAUUAGAUACCCUGGUAGUCCACGCCGUAAACGAUGAGUACUAGGUGUAGGAGGUAUCGACCCCUUCUGUGCCGCAGUUAACACAAUCAAGUACUCCGCCUGGGAAGUACGAUCGCAAGAUUAAAACUUAAAGGAAUUGACGGGGGUCAUAGCUG